UACGGAGGGUGCGAGCGUUAAUCGGAAUUACUGGGCGUAAAGCGCACGCAGGCGGUCAUUUAAGUGAGAUGUGAAAUCCCCGGGCUUAACCUGGGAAUUGCAUUUGAGACUGGUAGGCUAGAGUACUGUAGGGGGGGGUAGAAUUCCACGUGUAGCGGUGAAAUGCGUAGAGAUGUGGAGGAAUACCGAUGGCGAAGGCAGCCCCCUGGGAAAGGACUGACGCUCAUGUGCGAAAGCGUGGGGAGCAAACAGG
This 253-nucleotide ribosomal RNA is filed under the name uncultured bacterium. Its description in RNAcentral is "partial 16S ribosomal RNA". It matches the Rfam family "Bacterial small subunit ribosomal RNA", at positions 524 to 776 of the family's 1533-position model. The record is from RNAcentral.